CACACACACACAGAGGAAUAAAAUUGGCUUGUACAUGUUGCAUACAGCAUACCACUCAGGCAGUACUUUAAUCAGAAGAACUUUAAGAGUUGUAGAUACCUUACAGAAUUAAGUCAUCUAAAAUAUAUGAAGGACAGGGCUCUUUAAGUGCAGGGCAAGCUGGGAAAUACUCCCAUGCCUCAAAACAGCAGUGUCCCCAGGAGGGGGUUCAGUAGUGGCCAUGCUAGCAGACUACUGGCCUGAAACUUACUAUGGGAGAUUUGAGGAACGCUGAGGAGCAUUCACAACAAUUUGCCGUACAGUCGACAGACUGGUGAAGCUCUGAAUGUGGACCCCUGAAUGAAGUAAGACUUGCAGCUGACUGUGCACACGAGUGAGCACACCCGUGACAGAUACGGAUACUAUGGAUACACACCUGCUAAGGACUGGACUGAGAUCCUCCAACUUUGUCAUAUCAACUGCGGAACAGAUGAGCCACACCACACUUCAAGCAACACAUUGCACAGUGAGAGAGCAGCGGAGGAGAGGCUGUGACCCCAGCGUCUUGAUAACCUCUGCGCACCUAGGAGAGGAACCGCGGCGGUGUGUUCAGCGUACCUCCGUACCAGGACUGCCAUUCCCCGCGAGUCGGGACCUUGUCAGGGGGUGACUGGGAAGGCAAACACUGCUUAUGUUCAUAGCAAGCGUAUGAAAUCCUUGGAGAGGGAGAGUACAAGAUGAGAAGGGUACAUUAAAAUCUGACUGUGCAGGCUUGCGGAGACCGGCUCCGACUGAUGCCUGUGAGCUGUCUGAAGCCCACCUGGGACUAAGCGUACUGCCUUCCUUGAACCCUCUUUCAAGACUCACCGUAAAACUCAUGACAAAUACUUACCGAAGCUUUGGAAUAACUUCAGCGCUCUCCUCUUCUUUUUCCCAGUGAAGAUACAGUACCAGUGCCCUCUGUUUAUAUUAAAGGAUAUUACCUCCUAGAAGAGAUAGAAAGGCAACGCUGAACUAACCAAAGCACCCUUUGGUGCCUUCUUCAGGAUUUGUGCUGCUAUCUCCAGGGUCCUGGGGAGGCUCCUGCCUGGGAGUGAAAUCACCUGGCCAGUAUUUGGCUCCCCGAUACCUGCUAAACACAAGCUCUCCCCACACCUAUGAAGCCCACUUUUCACAGCAAGGUCUGACCUGGACGGAGUGGCUAUUUCACUGGAAGGAAGGGGUAUUUGGACUAGGGGUGGGAAGCGGCCACGCUGCCAAGCGACAACCUCUGGAGCUGCCUGAGCGGCCAGAAACCCCCCUGCACAAGGCGAGACUGAUAAAACUCAACCCCUCAGUGACUGCGCACAGCCCAGUCACAAGGACCUAACGUAAAACCAGUCCCGUCAAGUCAGAGGAACCCGUCUGGCCCAGCAGCCUGUUUCCAUCGGUGGCCAAGAGCAGAUGCCUAGGGAAGAGCAACACAAACGCAGAGUGAUGCCCCCUCGGGAGAUUCUCCUGGGAUCCAGAGAUGUGUAACUCAAUUUCCUGAGCCACAGUCGCUGUCCUUCGGUGGGCAUCCUUGCUGCUGUGGGUGUGCCCGAUGUCUUUUUGCCCACUCACCAAACAUUAGCAUCCACCACGUCCCACGGCCACGCGUCCCACCAGUACUUCUUGCUUGUCUGAAUCUG
This is a long non-coding RNA of Dromaius novaehollandiae (emu), 1649 nucleotides long. The record is from Ensembl. Lineage: Eukaryota; Metazoa; Chordata; Aves; Casuariiformes; Dromaiidae.